CUUGCUUUCUUUGCUGGCGACCGGCGCACGGGUGAGUAACACGUAUCCAACCUGCCCUUUACUCGGGGAUAGCCUUUCGAAAGAAAGAUUAAUACCCGAUAGCAUAAUGAUUCCGCAUGGUUUCAUUAUUAAAGGAUUCCGGUAAAGGAUGGGGAUGCGUUCCAUUAGGUUGUUGGUGAGGUAACGGCCCACCAAGCCUUCGAUGGAUAGGGGUUCUGAGAGGAAGGUCCCCCACACUGGAACCGAGACACGGUCCAA
Molecule: ribosomal RNA, 258 nt
Filed under: uncultured bacterium
Lineage: Bacteria
Description: partial 16S ribosomal RNA
Rfam family: Bacterial small subunit ribosomal RNA
Source: RNAcentral